AGCUCAGUAACACGUGGCCAAACUACCCUUCGGAACACAAUACCCUCGGGAAACUGAGGCUAAUAGUGUAUACCAUACCACCACUGGAAUGAGUGGUAUGCCAAACGCUCCGGCGCCGAAGGAUGUGGCUGCGGCCGAUUAGGUAGACGGUGGGGUAACGGCCCACCGUGCCAAUAAUCGGUAUGGGUCAUGAGAGUGAGAACCCAGAGACGGAAUCUGAGACAAGAUUCCGGGCCCUACGGGGCGCAGCAGGCGCGAAACCUUUACACUGCACGACAGUGCGAUAGGGGGAUCCCAAGUGCACAGGCAUAGCGCCUGUGCUUUUCGGUACCGUAAGGUGGUACCAGAAUAAGGGCUGGGCAAGACCGGUGCCAGCCGCCGCGGUAAUACCGGCAGCCC
RNAcentral lists this ribosomal RNA (399 nucleotides) under halophilic archaeon. Its description in RNAcentral is "bacterial SSU rRNA". It matches the Rfam family "Archaeal small subunit ribosomal RNA", at positions 87 to 485 of the family's 1478-position model. Lineage: Archaea; Methanobacteriati; Methanobacteriota; Halobacteria; Halobacteriales. The record is from RNAcentral.